This 466-nucleotide ribosomal RNA is filed under the name Clostridium sp. enrichment culture clone OTU005. RNAcentral describes it as "bacterial SSU rRNA". It matches the Rfam family "Bacterial small subunit ribosomal RNA", at positions 24 to 507 of the family's 1533-position model. Lineage: Bacteria; Bacillati; Bacillota; Clostridia; Eubacteriales; Clostridiaceae. The record is from RNAcentral.
UCGGGACGAACGCUGGCGGCGUGCCUAACACAUGCAAGUCGAGCGAUGAAGCUUCUUCGGAAGUGGAUUAGCGGCGGACGGGUGAGUAACACGUGGGUAACCUGCCUCAUAGUGGGGGAUAGCCUUUCGAAAGGAAGAUUAAUACCGCAUAAUAUUGUAGUUUCGCAUGAAACAACAAUUAAAGGAGCAAUCCGCUAUGAGAUGGACCCGCGUCGCAUUAGCUAGUUGGUGAGGUAAUGGCCCACCAAGGCGACGAUGCGUAGCCGACCUGAGAGGGUGAUCGGCCACAUUGGGACUGAGACACGGCCCAGACUCCUACGGGAGGCAGCAGUGGGGAAUAUUGCACAAUGGGCGAAAGCCUGAUGCAGCAACGCCGCGUGAGUGAUGACGGCCUUCGGGUUGUAAAACUCUGUCUUCAGGGACGAUAAUGACGGUACCUGAGGAGGAAGCCACGGCUAACUACGUG